Molecule: ribosomal RNA, 776 nt
Filed under: Enterobacter sp. UIWRF0824
Lineage: Bacteria; Pseudomonadati; Pseudomonadota; Gammaproteobacteria; Enterobacterales; Enterobacteriaceae
Description: bacterial SSU rRNA
Rfam family: Bacterial small subunit ribosomal RNA
Source: RNAcentral
CACAGGGAGCUUGCUCCUGGGUGACGAGCGGCGGACAGGUGAGUAAUGUCUGGGAAACUGCCUGAUGGAGGGGGAUAACUACUGGAAACGGUAGCUAAUACCGCAUAAUGUCGCAAGACCAAAGAGGGGGACCUUCGGGCCUCUUGCCAUCAGAUGUGUCCAGAUGGGGUUAGCUAGUAGGUGGGGUAAUGGCUCACCUAGGCGACGAUCCCUAGCUGGUCUGAGAGGAUGACCAGCCACACUGGAACUGAGACACGGUCCAGACUCCUACGGGAGGCAGCAGUGGGGAAUAUUGCACAAUGGGCGCAAGCCUGAUGCAGCCAUGCCGCGUGUAUGAAGAAGGCCUUCGGGUUGUAAAGUACUUUCAGCGAGGAGGAAGGCAUUAAGGUUAAUAACCUUGGUGAUUGACGUUACUCGCAGAAGAAGCACCGGCUAACUCCGUGCCAGCAGCCGCGGUAAUACGGAGGGUGCAAGCGUUAAUCGGAAUUACUGGGCGUAAAGCGCACGCAGGCGGUCUGUCAAGUCGGAUGUGAAAUCCCCGGGCUCAACCUGGGAACUGCAUUCGAAACUGGCAGGCUAGAGUCUUGUAGAGGGGGGUAGAAUUCCAGGUGUAGCGGUGAAAUGCGUAGAGAUCUGGAGGAAUCCCGGUGGCGAAGGCGGCCCCCUGGACAAAGACUGACGCUCAGGUGCGAAAGCGUGGGGAGCAAACAGGAUUAGAUAUCCCUGGUAGUCCACGCCGUAAACGAANUCGACCUUGGAGGCUGUUCCCUUGAGGA